RNAcentral lists this ribosomal RNA (866 nucleotides) under Veillonella dispar. RNAcentral's name for it is "partial 23S ribosomal RNA". It matches the Rfam family "Bacterial large subunit ribosomal RNA", at positions 1 to 865 of the family's 2925-position model. The record is from RNAcentral. Lineage: Bacteria; Bacillati; Bacillota; Negativicutes; Veillonellales; Veillonellaceae.
GAUAAGGUUAAGUGAAUAAGGGCGCACGGUGGAUGCCUUGGCACUAGGAGCCGAUGAAGGACGGGACUAACACCGAUAUGCUUUGGGGAGCUGUACGUAAGCUAUGAUCCAGAGAUUUCCGAAUGGGGAAACCCAACAUCUUUUAUAGGAUGUUACGUUUGCGUGAAUACAUAGCGCAUUCGAGGUAGACGCAGAGAACUGAAACAUCUAAGUACCUGCAGGAAGAGAAAGAAAAUUCGAUUCCCUGAGUAGCGGCGAGCGAAACGGGAAAAGCCCAAACCAAUGAGCUUGCUCAUUGGGGUUGUAGGACUCCGAUAUGGUAGUUCUUUCAGAUAAUCGAAUGACUUGGAAAAGUCAGUCAAAGAGGGUAAAAACCCCGUAGAUGAAAUUUGGAAGGCACCUAGGAGGAUCCUGAGUACGGCGGAACACGAGGAAUUCCGUCGGAAUCCGGGAGGACCAUCUCCCAAGGCUAAAUACUCCCUAGUGACCGAUAGUGAACCAGUACCGUGAGGGAAAGGUGAAAAGCACCCCGGAAGGGGAGUGAAAUAGAACCUGAAACCGUGUGCCUACAACAAGUCAAAGCCCGUUAAUGGGUGAUGGCGUGCCUUUUGUAGAAUGAACCGGCGAGUUACGAUUGCAUGCGAGGUUAAGUCGAAGAGACGGAGCCGCAGCGAAAGCGAGUCUGAAUAGGGCGUUUGAGUAUGUAGUCGUAGACCCGAAACCAUGUGAUCUACCCAUGUCCAGGUUGAAGGUGCGGUAAAACGCACUGGAGGACCGAACCCACGUACGUUGAAAAGUGCGGGGAUGAGGUGUGGGUAGCGGAGAAAUUCCAAACGAACUUGGAGAUAGCUGGUUCUCUCCGAAAU